This 1296-nucleotide long non-coding RNA is filed under the name Anser brachyrhynchus (Pink-footed goose). Its description in RNAcentral is "lncRNA (ENSABRG00000021782.1)". Lineage: Eukaryota; Metazoa; Chordata; Aves; Anseriformes; Anatidae. The record is from RNAcentral.
AGAACCGCAUUCCUAAAAUACUUGCCUCAACCAGGAGCAUGGUUUCUGCCCUACAGUUGUCAUCAGGACUCCAGAUGUACCCCUGAAAACACCACUGCCAGCCGUGGGGCUCACCCCCAGCUCAGAAUCAGGCAAAUCACCCCCACCUUGCUCAAUUACACCCUGCCCAGACCAAGGCUCCAUCCUUUUUUGCUUUGUUUUGUUUUAUUCCUCAGUAUUUUAGCAGCUCUCCACAUUUCAGCCUCUAAAAAUGCAAUAAAAGGUGGGUUCUUUGGAAAAGUUUGCUCCAAGCUGUUUAAGGACUGCUGGCUGUGGGAUGCCCGUGCAGGUGCCAGCCGGUGGCUCGGCUGCCCUGGGUCAGGGAGGGGAUGGAGCUGUGCUGGCCGUGUGCUAGAGGGAGGUCUGGCAGCAGGAGCACAGACCAGAAGCAGGGAACACCAGCAGGUAAGACAAAGAGCGCAGUGUUCAGCAGCAGGAGCUGAGCAGGGUACUCAUCCUGCCCGAAGGAAGGCUGCAUCCGCAGGCUGCAUCCUGCUGCUGGCUCCUGCUUUCCUUCCUCUCUGGACACUGACUCAGCACAACCGGCUUUUCAUCACAGGAAAAAACACGAGGUAUCCUUCCUUCCAGGCACCAGAACUGGUUGUUUCAUUGAUCCUUCUUUCCUUCGCUGCCCCAUGCAGCUGGAGCAAUCCGAGGAACAAAAAGAAGGCAUUGGACUUGGCAGCCGUCCUCCACCAGCACCCCUGGCCUUGCCAUUGCCCGGAGCAGCCACAAUCCCAAUCCCAACCCCAGCCACCAGCAUGGGCAUGGGAAUGGACGGAGCCCUGCAAACCCAUAGAGGAAAGGGGAGGCAGAAAUUGGAAUAAAAGGGGCCAGUCAGUGCUUGUCUGGCUGAGCCCUGUGCCUGCUCAAUGCAGUCUGCCCCAUUUUCUUAAUAAAUCCUCUCUCAACUCCUUCUCUAUGCAUUCACAGCCCAUCCCAUGUGUGUGUGCUGCAGGGGCUCACUGCCAGCUCCUGGGCGCACACAAGGGGGGACUGGUGCCAGUCCCCAGGGGCAGCAGGGGCUCAGCACCAACUACAGGGACUGGUACUUUAACUUCCAGCAGCGGGGUGGGAAUGGUGUGUGCCCCCCAAACCAGCUCCUGGGGGACCAGCGUGAGUAUAGGGCUGUGUGCUGGAGGCAGGGGCACUGGGGGGCAAAGGGACUGUGCUGGUGCUCAGGGGACCACGAGUGUGUGUGCUGUGAACCUGGAGAGUGCUGUGUGUGUCCCUGUGCCCAUGGCCUCUUGUCCCUGA